UGUCAAGGCUAGAGUAGGUGUUGUCAAGGUUAUAGGAGGUGUUGUCAAGGCUAGAGUAGGUGUUGUCAAGGUUAGAGGAGGUGUUGUCAAGGUUAGAUGAGGUGUUGUCAAGGUUAUAGGAGGUGUUGUCAAGGCUAGAGUAGGUGUUGUCAAGGUUAUAGGAGGUGUUGUCAAGGUUAUAGGAGGUGUUGUCAAGGUUAGAUGAGGUGUUGUCAAGGUUAGAUGAGGUGUUGUCAAGGUUAUAGGAGGUGUUUUCAAGGCUAGAGUAGGUGUUGUCAAGGCAAGAGUAGGUGAUUUCGAAGUUAGAGGAGGUGUGGUCAAAAUUAGAGGAGGUGUGGUCAAGGUUAGAGGAGGUGUGGUCAAGGUUAGAGUAGGUGUGGUCAAGGUUAGAGUAGGUGUGGUCAAAAUUAGAGGAGGUGUGGUAAAGGAUAGAGGAGGUGUUGUCAAGGUUAUAGGAGGUGUUUUCAAGGUUAGAGGAGGUGUUGUCAAGGUUAGAGGAGGUGUUGUCAAGGUUAGAGGAGGUGUUGUCAAGGUUAGAGGAGGUGGUGUCAAGGUUAGAGGAGGUGGUGUCAAGGUUACAGGAGGUGUUUUCAAGGCUAGAGGAGGUGUUGUCAAGGUUAGAGGAGGUGUUGUCAAGGCUAGUUGAGGUGUUGUCAAGGUUAGAGGAGGUGUUGUCAAGGCUAGAGGAGGUGUUGUCAAGGUUAGAGGAGGUGUUGUCAAUGUUAGUGGAGGUGUUGUUGAGGUUAGAGAAGGUGUUGUCAAGGUUAGAGUAGCUGUUGUCAAGGCUUGAGGAGGUGUUGUCAAGGUUAGAUGAGGUGUUGUCAAGGUUAGAGGAGCUGUUGUCAUGUUAGAUGAGGUGUUGUCAAGGUUAGAGGAGCUGUUGUCAAGGUUAGUGGCGGUGUUGUCAAUGUUAGAUCAGGUGUUGUCAAG
RNAcentral lists this long non-coding RNA (930 nucleotides) under Salmo salar (Atlantic salmon). RNAcentral describes it as "lncRNA (ENSSSAG00000093100.1)". The record is from RNAcentral. Lineage: Eukaryota; Metazoa; Chordata; Actinopteri; Salmoniformes; Salmonidae.